This 709-nucleotide ribosomal RNA is filed under the name Nocardioides sp. RNAcentral's name for it is "bacterial SSU rRNA". It matches the Rfam family "Bacterial small subunit ribosomal RNA", at positions 63 to 791 of the family's 1533-position model. The record is from RNAcentral. Lineage: Bacteria; Bacillati; Actinomycetota; Actinomycetes; Propionibacteriales; Nocardioidaceae.
CGAGCGGAAGGCCACUUCGGUGGUACUCGAGCGGCGAACGGGUGAGUAACACGUGAGUAAUCUGCCCCUGGCUUUGGGAUAGCCACCGGAAACGGUGAUUAAUACCGGAUAUGACCACUUCUCGCAUGGGAUGGUGGUGGAAAGUUUUUCGGCCAGGGAUGUGCUCGCGGCCUAUCAGCUUGAUGGUGAGGUAAUGGCUCACCAUGGCUUCGACGGGUAGCCGGCCUGAGAGGGUGACCGGUCACACUGGGACUGAGACACGGCCCAGACUCCUACGGGAGGCAGCAGUGGGGAAUAUUGGACAAUGGGCGGAAGCCUGAUCCAGCAACGCCGCGUGAGGGAUGACGGCCUUCGGGUUGUAAACCUCUUUCAGCAGGGACGAAGCGCAAGUGACGGUACCUGCAGAAGAAGCACCGGCCAACUACGUGCCAGCAGCCGCGGUAAUACGUAGGGUGCGAGCGUUGUCCGGAAUUAUUGGGCGUAAAGGGCUCGUAGGCGGUUUGUCGCGUCGGGAGUGAAAACGCCGUGCUUAACACGGCGCUUGCUUUCGAUACGGGCAGACUAGAGGUAUUCAGGGGAGAACGGAAUUCCUGGUGUAGCGGUGAAAUGCGCAGAUAUCAGAGGAACACCGGUGCGAAAGCGGUUCUCUGGGAAUGACCUGACGCUAGGAGCGAAAGUGUGGGGAGCGAACAGGAUUAGAUACCCUGGU